This 613-nucleotide long non-coding RNA is filed under the name Mus musculus (house mouse). RNAcentral's name for it is "elncRNA-EC27". Lineage: Eukaryota; Metazoa; Chordata; Mammalia; Rodentia; Muridae. The record is from RNAcentral.
CUAGGAAUUUAGCUUGGAGGAAUCGUGCAGAUUCCUCUGUUCCGAGGCAACUAGGGUGAAAUUAUUGGAUCCAUUUUGCUUCUGUGUCACUGCUCUGGACACUGGGAUUCCAGGUCAAGACUAUCUGACAGGUCAAGCUUCAGCCAGCAGCUUCAUUAGCAGGAAGAGAUUCGGUGCUGUACUGGGGAGCUAGCUACACAGAAGUAGUCCUAAGCGUGGUCAACUCAACAUCUCCAGCUCAGCCUCUUCCAGUUCGCUAUCUUCCAAAUUCUGAAUCCGCUUGCUGGACAUCUCCUCACCAGGCUAGUAUAUGCGCUCGCGCUCUCUCUUUCUCCUCAGAAGCAAGCAGGGAUGUGUGUGUGUGUGUGUGUACAGCUUAAAAUGUUGGAGAAGGGAAGACAAGUAAAGGGGGUGACGUUGGCUACAAGCAUGGUGGAUACCAUGGGUCCCUGAGGAAAUAAACUGUUUGCGGUUUUCCCCCAGAGUUGAAGUUUUGACUUAAUUUGAGCGAACCUGACAUCGGUUUCUACAGCAGUACAUUGGAUUUGGCUUGUGCUGUUGUGACACAAAGGGAAAGGCACACACACAAUGUCAGCAAUGUUCUCUCUCCUUC